This 433-nucleotide long non-coding RNA is filed under the name Crocodylus porosus (Australian saltwater crocodile). RNAcentral's name for it is "lncRNA (ENSCPRG00005004114.1)". The record is from RNAcentral. Lineage: Eukaryota; Metazoa; Chordata; Crocodylia; Crocodylidae.
AUCAAAAGAAAGUCUUCAGUAAUCCCUCUAUGCUGUCUGAUUGCAGACUGCCUGGUAACAAGCAUUGAGGAAGUGAAUAUAUAGGAGAAUUUUGAAUAAGGAUGAGGGCUAAACCAUAAAAGGAAGUUUAUCCUGCAACCUCACAGUUUCCUAUUUUAUUGAACCUUUCCUUAAAAUGGGAUCCUCUACAGAGUGAAAUAAAAGCAGAGACAGAUUGCAACACAGACAGACUCUGGAAGAGAUUUUAUACAAAAGGAGGAUUUCAUGUAGCAGAGAGGAACAUGGAGGUUGCUGCUGAUGGCAGAAGCUGCUGCGAAGUCAGAAAAGAUUUGGAGAUUUGGGCAGCAUGGCAUGAAGCUCUCCAUCAGGACUGGAGUGGAAUCCAAAACCUGAACACAGGUCUCAAGCACCCUGAACUCUGAGAGAGCUCAGA